GCCAUCUUUGAUGAGUGGGCUACAAUCCAUAUAACCGCAGAGUUUUGUCCACAGUCAGCCCUGCUGUUUUGGGUCUAUGGCAGCACAGAACAUCGUGGUGGAAGCCUGCUCACCUUGUGGAGCCCUGGAAAUGACUGUCAGAUGGCCAGGCCUGGAAAUCUGCCUUUGAUAAAACAAAAGCAUUAAAGGAAAGGAAAACAUAAACGAUAGAGAGGAAGAAGGACCCGUGGAAAUAGCUGCUUCUGCACCCGCGCGGCAGGGAAUAGCUGGCCACGAUAACGCAACCCUUGGGGCUGCCCAGUCCUGCAGCCCGGAGGGCAGGCUCUCUGCUGCAGAGGCAGAUGUACUGGAUCCAGGGGACCUUCCGCCAUGUUUCCCGCCCUUCGCAGCUCACAAGGGACUCCACACUCAUGUAUAGGUGCUCAUCUGCCCUGUCACAGAUGGGAAGAUGAUCCCAAGGGUGAGUGUCCAUCCCACCAAUGGUCACCUCAUGGUAGAGCCCAUAA
Peromyscus maniculatus bairdii (prairie deer mouse) is the source of this 506-nucleotide non-coding RNA. The record is from RefSeq and is a predicted model, not a curated record. NCBI's taxonomy places the organism in Eukaryota, Metazoa, Chordata, Mammalia, Rodentia, Cricetidae.